GUGGGGAAUCUUGCUCAAUGGGCGAAAGCCUGAAGCAGCAACGCCGCGUGCGGGAUGAAGGCCCUCGGGUCGUAAACCGCUUUCAGAAGGAACGAAAAUGACGGUACCUUCAGAAGAAGGCCCGGCUAACUACGUGCCAGCAGCCGCGGUAACACGUAGGGGCCGAGCGUUGUCCGGAUUCAUUGGGCGUAAAGAGCUCGUAGGCGGUUUCGUAAGUCGGGUGUGAAAUCUCCAGGCUCAACUUGGAGGGGCCACCCGAUACUGCGCGACUCGAGUCCGGUAGGGGAGUGGGGAAUUCCUGGUGUAGCGGUGAAAUGCGCAGAUAUCAGGAGGAACACCGGUGGCGAAGGCGCCACUCUGGGCCGGUACUGACGCUGAGGAGCGAAAGCGUGGGGAGCAAACAGGAUUAGAUACCCUAGUAGUCC
This 425-nucleotide ribosomal RNA is filed under the name uncultured bacterium. RNAcentral describes it as "bacterial SSU rRNA". It matches the Rfam family "Bacterial small subunit ribosomal RNA", at positions 354 to 796 of the family's 1533-position model. The record is from RNAcentral.